This 364-nucleotide ribosomal RNA is filed under the name uncultured bacterium. Its description in RNAcentral is "partial 16S ribosomal RNA". It matches the Rfam family "Bacterial small subunit ribosomal RNA", at positions 338 to 699 of the family's 1533-position model. The record is from RNAcentral.
CCUACGGGCGGCAGCAGUGAGGAAUAUUGGUCAAUGGGCGGAAGCCUGAACCAGCCAAGCAGCGUGCAGGAUGACGGCUCUACGGGUUGUAAACUGCUUUUAUACGGGAAUAACGCCCCAUACGUGUAGGGCUUUGCAUGUACCGUACGAAUAAGGACCGGCUAAUUCCGUGCCAGCAGCCGCGGUAAUACGGAGGGUCCGGGCGUUAGCCGGAUUUAUUGGGUUUAAAGGGGGCGUAGGCCGCAUGACAAGCGUGCGGUGAAAUGUCCGGGCUCAACCCGGGCCUGGCAGCGCGAACUGGCGGGCUUGAGUCCGCGGAAGGCAGGCGGAAUUCGUCGUGUAGCGGUGAAAUGCUUAGAUAUGA